ACUGCUCAGUAACACGUGGAUAACCUGCCCUGCGGUGGGAAAUAACCCCGGGAAACUGGGGAUAAUGUCCCAUAGGCUACGGAUGCUGGAAUGCUCUGUAGCUCAAAGAUUUAUCGCCACAGGAUGGAUCUGCGGCCGAUUAGGUAGUUGUUGGGGUAACGGCCCAACAAGCCUUUGAUCGGUACGGGUUGUGGGAGCAAGAGCCCGGAGAUGGAUUCUGAGACACGAAUCCAGGCCCUACGGGGCGCAGCAGGCGCGAAAACUUUACAAUGCUGGCAACAGCGAUAAGGGAACCUCGAGUGCCAGGUUACAAAUCUGGCUGUCGAGAUGCCUAAAAAGCAUUUCAUAGCAAGGGCCGGGCAAGACCGGUGCCAGCCGCCGCGGUAACACCGGCGGCUCGAGUGGUAACCGUUAUUAUUGGGUCUAAAGGGUCUGUAGCCGGCCGGAUAAGUCUCUUGAGAAAUCUGGCAGCUUAACUGUCAGGCUUUCAGGAGAUACUGUCUGGCUCGAGGCCGGGAGAGGUGAGAGGUACUUCAGGGGUAGGGGUGAAAUCCUGUAAUCCUUGAAGGACCACCAGUGGCGAAGGCGUCUCACCAGAACGGACCUGACGGCAAGGGACGAAAGCUAGGGGCACGAACCGGAUUAGAUACCCGGGUAGUCCUAGCCGUAAACGAUACUCGCUAGGUGUCGGCCACGGUGCGACCGUUGUCGGUGCCGUAGGGAAGCCGUGAAGCGAGCCACCUGGGAAGUACGGCCGCAAGGCUGAAACUUAAAGGAAUUGGCGGGGGAGCAC
RNAcentral lists this ribosomal RNA (793 nucleotides) under uncultured archaeon. RNAcentral's name for it is "bacterial SSU rRNA". It matches the Rfam family "Archaeal small subunit ribosomal RNA", at positions 85 to 879 of the family's 1478-position model. The record is from RNAcentral.